CCUACGGGAGGCAGCAGUGAGGAAUAUUGGUCAAUGGACGAGAGUCUGAACCAGCCAAGUAGCGUGAAGGAUGACUGCCCUAUGGGUUGUAAACUGCUUGUAUAUGGGAAUAAAACGUUCCACGUGGGGGAUUGUGUAUGUACCAUAUGAAUAAGGAGCGGCUAACUCCGUGCCAGCAGCCGCGGUAAUACGGAGGAUCCGAGCGUUAUCCGGAUUUAUUGGGUUUAAAGGGAGCGUAGGUGGAUUGUUAAGUCAGUUGUGAAAGUUUGCGGCUCAACCCUAAAAUUGCAGUUGAAACUGGCAGUCUUUAGUACAGUAGAGGUGGGCGGCAUUCGUGGUGUAGCGGU
This 347-nucleotide ribosomal RNA is filed under the name uncultured bacterium. Its description in RNAcentral is "partial 16S ribosomal RNA". It matches the Rfam family "Bacterial small subunit ribosomal RNA", at positions 338 to 682 of the family's 1533-position model. The record is from RNAcentral.